Molecule: ribosomal RNA, 165 nt
Filed under: Veronica buchananii
Lineage: Eukaryota; Viridiplantae; Streptophyta; Magnoliopsida; Lamiales; Plantaginaceae
Description: 5.8S ribosomal RNA
Rfam family: 5.8S ribosomal RNA
About the family: 5.8S ribosomal RNA (5.8S rRNA) is a component of the large subunit of the eukaryotic ribosome. It is transcribed by RNA polymerase I as part of the 45S precursor that also contains 18S and 28S rRNA.
Source: RNAcentral
UAAACGACUCUCGGCAACGGAUAUCUCGGCUCUCGCAUCGAUGAAGAACGUAGCGAAAUGCGAUACUUGGUGUGAAUUGCAGAAUCCCGUGAACCAUCGAGUCUUUGAACGCAAGUUGCGCCCGAAGCCUGCUGGCCGAGGGCACGCCUGCCUGGGCGUCACGCA